Molecule: ribosomal RNA, 270 nt
Filed under: uncultured Acetobacter sp.
Lineage: Bacteria; Pseudomonadati; Pseudomonadota; Alphaproteobacteria; Acetobacterales; Acetobacteraceae
Description: partial 16S ribosomal RNA
Rfam family: Bacterial small subunit ribosomal RNA
Source: RNAcentral
AGCGAACGCUGGCGGCAUGCUUAACACAUGCAAGUCGCACGAAGGUUUCGGCCUUAGUGGCGGACGGGUGAGUAACGCGUAGGUAUCUAUCCAUGGGUGGGGGAUAACACUGGGAAACUGGUGCUAAUACCGCAUGACACCUGAGGGUCAAAGGCGUAAGUCGCCUGUGGAGGAGCCUGCGUUUGAUUAGCUAGUUGGUGGGGUAAAGGCCUACCAAGGCAACGAUACGUAGCCGACCUGAGAGGGUGAUCGGCCACACUGGAACUGAGA